This 561-nucleotide ribosomal RNA is filed under the name uncultured bacterium. RNAcentral's name for it is "bacterial SSU rRNA". It matches the Rfam family "Bacterial small subunit ribosomal RNA", at positions 338 to 916 of the family's 1533-position model. The record is from RNAcentral.
CCUACGGGAGGCAGCAGUGGGGAAUAUUGGACAAUGGGCGAAAGCCUGAUCCAGCAAUGCCGCGUGAGUGAUGAAGGCCUUCGGGUCGUAAAGCUCUUUUACCAGGGAUGAUAAUGACAGUACCUGGAGAAUAAGCUCCGGCUAACUCCGUGCCAGCAGCCGCGGUAAUACGGAGGGAGCUAGCGUUGUUCGGAAUUACUGGGCGUAAAGAGUACGUAGGCGGUUAUUCAAGUCAGAGGUGAAAGCCCGGGGCUCAACCCCGGAACUGCCUUUGAAACUAGAUAACUAGAGUCUUGGAGAGGUUAGUAGAAUUCCGAGUGUAGAGGUGAAAUUCGUAGAUAUUCGGAAGAACACCAGUGGCGAAGGCGACUAACUGGACAAGUACUGACGCUGAGGUACGAAAGCGUGGGGAGCAAACAGGAUUAGAUACCCUGGUAGUCCACGCCGUAAACGAUGAUAACUAGUUGUUCGGUCACUUGGUGACUGAGUGACGCAGCUAACGCAUUAAGUUAUCCGCCUGGGGAGUACGGUCGCAAGAUUAAAACUCAAAUGAAUUGACGG